GAUGAACGCUGGCGGCGUGCCUAAUACAUGCAAGUCGAGCGAACAGACGAGGAGCUUGCUCCUCUGACGUUAGCGGCGGACGGGUGAGUAACACGUGGAUAACCUACCUAUAAGACUGGGAUAACUUCGGGAAACCGGAGCUAAUACCGGAUAAUAUAUUGAACCGCAUGGUUCAAUAGUGAAAGACGGUUUUGCUGUCACUUAUAGAUGGAUCCGCGCCGCAUUAGCUAGUUGGUAAGGUAACGGCUUACCAAGGCAACGAUGCGUAGCCGACCUGAGAGGGGGAUCGGCAACACUGGAACUGAGACACGGUCCAGCCUCCUACGGGAGGCAGCAGUAGGGAAUCUUCCGCAAUGGGCGAAAGCCUGACGGAGCAACGCCGCGUGAGUGAUGAAGGUCUUCGGAUCGUAAAACUCUGUUAUUAGGGAAGAACAAAUGUGUAAGUAACUAUGCACGUCUUGACGGUACCUAAUCAGAAAGCCACGGCUAACUACGUG
Molecule: ribosomal RNA, 497 nt
Filed under: uncultured bacterium
Lineage: Bacteria
Description: partial 16S ribosomal RNA
Rfam family: Bacterial small subunit ribosomal RNA
Source: RNAcentral